Molecule: transfer RNA, 89 nt
Filed under: Acidiferrobacterales bacterium
Lineage: Bacteria; Pseudomonadati; Pseudomonadota; Gammaproteobacteria; Acidiferrobacterales
Description: tRNA-Ser
Rfam family: tRNA
About the family: Transfer RNA (tRNA) molecules are approximately 80 nucleotides in length. Their secondary structure includes four short double-helical elements and three loops (D, anti-codon, and T loops).
Source: RNAcentral
GGAGAGGUGGCCGAGCGGUUGAAGGCGCUCCCCUGCUAAGGGAGUAUGGGCAGCCCCCAUCGAGGGUUCGAAUCCCUCCCUCUCCGCCA